AAGGUCGUAACAAGGUUUCCGUAGGUGAACCUGCGGAAGGAUCAUUAAAGAGUUAGGGUCCUAGUGGCCCAAAUCCUCCCAACCCCUCUGUUGGUUAAAAAGCUACCCUUGUUGCUUUGGGCCGGGUACCGUUCCGGGUUCUCCGAGCGCGUUAACCUUCGGGUUGGCGAGCGCCCGCCAGAGUCCAACCAAACUCUUGUAUUAAACCAGUCGUCUGAGUAUAAAAGUUUUCAAUUUAAUAAAAAC
This 246-nucleotide unclassified non-coding RNA is filed under the name plant metagenome. Its description in RNAcentral is "partial contains small subunit ribosomal RNA and internal transcribed spacer 1". The stretch from base 1 to 47 matches the Rfam family "Eukaryotic small subunit ribosomal RNA", at positions 1785 to 1831 of the family's 1831-position model. The record is from RNAcentral.